CCUGGUGGCUCAGAGGUUAAAGCAUCUGCCUGGAAUGCAGGAGACCCAGGUUCAAUCCCUGGGUCAGGA
RNAcentral lists this transfer RNA (69 nucleotides) under Ovis aries (sheep). It matches the Rfam family "tRNA". From Rfam's summary of the family: Transfer RNA (tRNA) molecules are approximately 80 nucleotides in length. The record is from Rfam by way of RNAcentral. RNAcentral also lists the same sequence under 1 other name. Lineage: Eukaryota; Metazoa; Chordata; Mammalia; Artiodactyla; Bovidae.